UGGUUUAGUGGCGGACGGGUGAGUAACACGUGAGCAACCUACCUUUCAGAGGGGGAUAACAGUUGGAAACGACUGCUAAUACCGCAUAACGUUGUAAAAGGGCAUCCAUUUACAACCAAAAGAGAAAUCUGCUGAAAGAUGGGCUCGCGGCCGAUUAGAUAGUAGGCGGGGUAACGGCCCACCUAGUCAACGAUCGGUAGCCGGACUGAGAGGUUGAACGGCCACAUUGGGACUGAGACACGGCCCAGACUCCUACGGAAGGCAGCAG
This 268-nucleotide ribosomal RNA is filed under the name uncultured bacterium. RNAcentral's name for it is "partial 16S ribosomal RNA". It matches the Rfam family "Bacterial small subunit ribosomal RNA", at positions 88 to 354 of the family's 1533-position model. The record is from RNAcentral.